AAUCAGGGGAAUUUUCAUCCCAGGGAGGUAAUACCAGAUGAAAUACAUUCUUACAGUUGAGGUUAUAUCCUUUAGUGACGGCUAUUUUAGAUGUAGAAAUACCUUGAGGAUAUCUCUGGUUACAUUCAACUUUCAUCUGGG
Molecule: long non-coding RNA, 141 nt
Organism: Octopus sinensis (East Asian common octopus)
Lineage: Eukaryota; Metazoa; Mollusca; Cephalopoda; Octopoda; Octopodidae
Exons: 3
Source: RefSeq, a predicted model, not a curated record